AGAGUUUGAUCCUGGCUCAGGACGAACGCUGGCGGCGUGCUUAACACAUGCAAGUCGAACGAUGAACUCCAGCUUGCUGGGGGGAUUAGUGGCGAACGGGUGAGUAACACGUGGGUAAUCUGCCCUCGAUUCUGGGAUAGCCCGGGGAAACCCGGAUUAAUACCGGAUAGCCUCUCGAGCUUACGAGCUCGUGAGAAAAGGUAGCUUCGGCCUCCGAUCGAGGAUGGGCCCGCGGCCUAUCAGCUUGUUGGUGGGGUGAUGGCCUACCAAGGCGACGACGGGUAGCCGGCCUGAGAGGGUGUCCGGCCACACUGGGACUGAGAUACGGCCCAGACUCCUACGGGAGGCAGCAGUGGGGAAUAUUGCACAAUGGGCGCAAGCCUGAUGCAGCGACGCCGCGUGAGGGAUGACGGCCUUCGGGUUGUAAACCUCUUUCAGUACCGACGAAGCGCGAGUGACGGUAGGUACAGAAGAAGCACCGGCCAACUACGUGCCAGCAGCGGCGGUAAUAC
This 512-nucleotide ribosomal RNA is filed under the name uncultured bacterium. Its description in RNAcentral is "bacterial SSU rRNA". It matches the Rfam family "Bacterial small subunit ribosomal RNA", at positions 8 to 526 of the family's 1533-position model. The record is from RNAcentral.